GGGGUAAUCUGAUUGUACCAACACAGCGACCUUGAAAGUCACUUGCUUCUUUCUCCUGCCCCCUUCCAAAAAGUAAGACCGCAGAGUGGGAAAGAGUGCUUUGUAGCAACACUCAGCACCCUGCAUUGGUGGGAUUUAGGGCUUUGUCCUCAGUAUCUGUGGCAUUUGGGUAUCACCUGUGCCAACCGAUAAGCACUUUAACCACUGCAGCUAUGUCCAGCAGGGCUGAUAAGUCACGGCAUUCUGCCACCUACGCUCACAACCCAGCCAGUUAAUGUAAGCUGAAAUCGAUGCGCCAAGCCAUGAAGAGUGCACAUAAUGUACCAGCCAUUCAAUUGCCUCUGCUGUAGCAGCAACAACCUCUGGCAGAGAGAAAGGACAGGCAGCUGGAGAUGAUAACCUUUUAAAUUGCUCUAACAUGCAUUUGGAAAGCCUAUAAAUCUGAAUCCCUAAAUACAAAUUCUCUGCCAUGAAGAAUAACUGGAAGUGCAUAACAGAGUUUUUUCUGCAUUGCAGACUGCUAGAGGCAAACAGUUCACUCACUCUUUACAGAGGGACAAUCAAACCUUCAGACCUGCUGCUCAAUGCAGUAUGUUUAUAAAGAACCUGAUAGUGGUCAUCAUUAGGACCACUGAAUGUGAUAAUGAUUUAUGGACCACAGUCUUCUCCACAGGCAGCUGUUCACUGUCAUGUGCCCUAUGCUGAGCAUGUAUUUCCUUCAAGUCAACCAAUCCAUAGCUCUCCUUUCAUCUUCACUCUUCUGGGUUGGAACAAUUGAACCUCCUGCUCUGUAGUGAAUGGCUUUUUGUUACUCUGGGCAAGGCAGAGGCCUGAUUUCUGUCUGGAUGAGGAUUUCUGCUGUGUAAACAUUUCCAGAACAGCAUGCAUUAACUGAGAGAAGGAGCUAUCUGACUGUAUUUUGACUUCACAAAAUCUGAGUUUUCAUAUGAAUUAGAAAUAUUUUGUUCUUUGCAUGUGUUGUGUAUAUAGGUGCAUAUUUAUUAAAAUGCACUGUGAGGCCUGAAGUGAUGUCCUGUAAAGUAGUUUAAUAUCUUUUACUGGGAUGCAGUGUUCCUCUGAAAGCAGUGAUCAGUGACUCUUCAAGUUGUCCCUACUGUUCUACCCC
RNAcentral lists this long non-coding RNA (1126 nucleotides) under Strigops habroptila (Kakapo). RNAcentral's name for it is "lncRNA (ENSSHBG00005009631.1)". The record is from RNAcentral. Lineage: Eukaryota; Metazoa; Chordata; Aves; Psittaciformes; Psittacidae.